AUUCAACGGCCGCGGAAUCAUAACCGUGCGAAGGUAGCGUAAUCACCUGUUUCUUAAAUAGAGACCAGUAUGAACGGCUCAUUGAGAGUUCAACUGUCUCCUGUAGCCAAUCAAUGAAACUGAUCUUUCAGUACAAAAGCUGAAAUAAACCCACAAGACGAGAAGACCCCGUGGAGCUUAAAACCUACCACUACACUAUAACCAACCAUCACGGCACAAACCCAUACAACCAUAGUAUAAGUUUUAAGUUGGGGCGACUUAGGAGAAAUAAACAACCUCCUUGAACAUGGGGUUAAAUUCCCCUCCAUAAGAUAUACAAAUCAAAUGACUACACUAUACCGACCCAGUACUACUGACCACCGAACCAAGUUACCCCGGGGAUAACAGCGCCAUCCCCCUCAAGAGCCCAUAUCGCCAGGGGGGCUUACGACCUCGAUGUUGGAUCAGGACACCCCAGUGGUGAAGCCGCUACUAAAGGUUCGUUUGUUCAACGAUUAAUGUCCUA
This 505-nucleotide ribosomal RNA is filed under the name Nuttalliella namaqua. Its description in RNAcentral is "partial 16S ribosomal RNA". It matches the Rfam family "Bacterial large subunit ribosomal RNA", at positions 1922 to 2598 of the family's 2925-position model. The record is from RNAcentral. Lineage: Eukaryota; Metazoa; Arthropoda; Arachnida; Ixodida; Nuttalliellidae.